CGAUGAACCACUUCGGUGGGGAUUAGUGGCGAACGGGUGAGUAACACGUGGGCAAUCUGCCCUGCACUCUGGGACAAGCCCUGGAAACGGGGUCUAAUACCGGAUACGAGUUUCACAGGCAUCUGUGAUUCUGGAAAGCUCCGGCGGUGCAGGAUGAGCCCGCGGCCUAUCAGCUUGUUGGUGAGGUAACGGCUCACCAAGGCGACGACGGGUAGCCGGCCUGAGAGGGCGACCGGCCACACUGGGACUGAGACACGGCCCAGACUCCUACGGGAGGCAGCAGUGGGGAAUAUUGCACAAUGGGCGCAAGCCUGAUGCAGCGACGCCGCGUGAGGGAUGACGGCCUUCGGGUUGUAAACCUCUUUCAGCAGGGAAGAAGCGAGAGUGACGGUACCUGCAGAAGAAGCGCCGGCUAACUACGUGCCAGCAGCCGCGGUAAUACGUAGGGCGCAAGCGUUGUCCGGAAUUAUUGGGCGUAAAGAGCUCGUAGGCGGCUUGUCGCGUCGGAUGUGAAAGCCCGGGGCUUAACCCCGGGUCUGCAUUCGAUACGGGCAGGCUAGAGUUCGGUAGGGGAGAUCGGAAUUCCUGGUGUAGCGGUGAAAUGCGCAGAUAUCAGGAGGAACACCGGUGGCGAAGGCGGAUCUCUGGGCCGAUACUGACGCUGAGGAGCGAAAGCGUGGGGAGCGAACAGGAUUAGAUACCCUGG
RNAcentral lists this ribosomal RNA (706 nucleotides) under Streptomyces sp. Its description in RNAcentral is "bacterial SSU rRNA". It matches the Rfam family "Bacterial small subunit ribosomal RNA", at positions 67 to 790 of the family's 1533-position model. Lineage: Bacteria; Bacillati; Actinomycetota; Actinomycetes; Kitasatosporales; Streptomycetaceae. The record is from RNAcentral.